UGCCAGCCGAGUUAAAAGACAUAGCUUAGUACCCUUUUGCUCUCUUUAUUUAUUCAUUCAUUCAUCGUAUUCCACUUCGCCUGUUACUUCCCAUUUUCCUAUAGGCCGGCCUCGUACUUCUAUUGUAUCUUCGUCUGAGAGCGAGUAGCUAUUAGUAUAUAUAAUUAUAAGUUGUCUCCAUAGCUGAAAUUUGGACAUAGAGAGACAUGGAUUACUGGCUUGGCUAUGUGGCUUUUGCACUGAGGAUCUGUACAUUGCAUACAACAUUGGUGGAAAGUGGAUGUCCAUUGAUAUUUGAAGCUUAUUUGCUCAAUUAUUUUAUCAAUAAAACCUGUCAAUUUUUUUCAUCAUUUGAUAUUUAAUGUAUUAAAUACAUUUAUUUCCUACAUAAUUCGAGACCCUUUCUGUUUUUAAUUUAUGGUUGGUCUUCCUUAUUAAAAGGUGGGUUGGCGAGUGGGG
This 459-nucleotide long non-coding RNA is filed under the name Olea europaea (common olive). RNAcentral describes it as "long non-coding RNA (OEUR_LNC008062)". The record is from RNAcentral. Lineage: Eukaryota; Viridiplantae; Streptophyta; Magnoliopsida; Lamiales; Oleaceae.